Molecule: long non-coding RNA, 464 nt
Filed under: Mus musculus (house mouse)
Lineage: Eukaryota; Metazoa; Chordata; Mammalia; Rodentia; Muridae
Description: predicted gene, 47914
Source: RNAcentral
ACUAGUAGGAGGUGUGGCCUUGUUGAAGGAAGUUUGUUACUGCCAGGAUGAACUUUGAAGUCUCCAGUGCUCAAGCUAUAGCCAGUGUGGAUACAGUUUCCUUCUUCUGCCUUUAGAUCAAGAUGGAGACUACCCGGCUCCUUCAUCACCAUGUCUGCCUGCAUGCUGCCAUGCUUCCUGCCAUGAUAAUAAUGGACUAAACCUCUGAAAUGUUAUCCAAAAAGAAGAAUGAAAGAGAAAAAAAGGAAGCCAUAUAAGAACCGUAAAAUUAUUUCCCUGAGUCUCAGGACACCCUGGUGGACCUUCAUCCUCCUGCCUCGUCUCUGCCCAUCGUCAUCAGACCAGAUUCUGAAACAUACAGGAAUGUGCAUCCUGAACCAUACAGAUCUGCUGACCCAGAAUGACACAGCCAAAGGAUACCCAUCAGAGACCUGCCACACCAAUACCAUUGUGAAUAAGCCCCC